RNAcentral lists this unclassified non-coding RNA (255 nucleotides) under Hevea brasiliensis (rubber tree). The record is from RNAcentral. Lineage: Eukaryota; Viridiplantae; Streptophyta; Magnoliopsida; Malpighiales; Euphorbiaceae.
AGCUUCCAGAUAAGCCGCCUUGCAUUGUGGAAAACAGACACUGAAGACAAGUCAUUGAAGUCAUGGGAGAAGAUUGCAGAAUGUACCCUCAGCCUCAGCCCCAAUUAGUUUCCCCUUCUUUUUCUAAUGCUUCUAAUUUGCAAUAAAACCUAACAGGUGUGCUCUUAUCUUCUAGAUGCCAUUUGACAAUCUGCAAUUUUAUGCACUCACCAACCACCUUAUCUUUGGUCCUGUUGUGUUUGUCAGUAUGCCAGU